This 495-nucleotide ribosomal RNA is filed under the name uncultured bacterium. RNAcentral's name for it is "partial 16S ribosomal RNA". It matches the Rfam family "Bacterial small subunit ribosomal RNA", at positions 28 to 507 of the family's 1533-position model. The record is from RNAcentral.
GACGAACGCUGGCGGCGUGCCUAAUACAUGCAAGUAGAACGCUGAAGGAGGAGCUUGCUCUUCUGGAUGAGUUGCGAACGGGUGAGUAACGCGUAGGUAACCUGCCUGGUAGCGGGGGAUAACUAUUGGAAACGAUAGCUAAUACCGCAUAAGAGUAGAUGUUGCAUGACAUUUGCUUAAAAGGUGCAAUUGCAUCACUACCAGAUGGACCUGCGUUGUAUUAGCUAGUUGGUGGGGUAACGGCUCACCAAGGCGACGAUACAUAGCCGACCUGAGAGGGUGAUCGGCCACACUGGGACUGAGACACGGCCCAGACUCCUACGGGAGGCAGCAGUAGGGAAUCUUCGGCAAUGGACGGAAGUCUGACCGAGCAACGCCGCGCGAGUGAAGAAGGUUUUCGGAUCGUAAAGCUCUGUUGUAAGAGAAGAACGAGUGUGAGAGUGGAAAGUUCACACUGUGACGGUAUCUUACCAGAAAGGGACGGCUAACUACGUG